This 82-nucleotide transfer RNA is filed under the name Candidatus Gottesmanbacteria bacterium RIFOXYB1_FULL_47_11. Its description in RNAcentral is "tRNA-Ser". It matches the Rfam family "tRNA". Rfam says of the family: Transfer RNA (tRNA) molecules are approximately 80 nucleotides in length. Their secondary structure includes four short double-helical elements and three loops (D, anti-codon, and T loops). RNAcentral also lists the same sequence under 2 other names. The record is from RNAcentral. Lineage: Bacteria; Candidatus Gottesmaniibacteriota.
GGAGGGUGGGCGGGACGGUAACGCGCUAGUCUUGAAAACUAGUGGGAGCAAUCCCUAACAGGUUCGACCCCUGUACCCUCCG